AAUUCCUCAAAUUCGUCCAUCCCUUGUGCUUCAUGUGCAUGAACUCCAUUUUAGCCCAAUUUUGCUCCAAAUUGCAUCCUUUUGCUCACUUUGUCUCUAAAACCUGAAAACACAUGAAAAUAGCUUAAAAGACUAACUUAACUAAGAAAACACAACAUAAAUGCAUAAGAACUAACUAACUAAGGCGCAUAAAUAUGCUCCUAUCAAUGACAAUUGUAGUAUAUGAGCAAAUAGGGAUCGUUCUAACCGGGGAUUAACUAGGGCUGCUAAUCAAUGUAAAACUGACUCAAGAACAUAAAAAUAUAAUGUAGAACACUAAA
This 320-nucleotide long non-coding RNA is filed under the name Malus domestica (apple). RNAcentral's name for it is "long non-coding RNA (MDOM_LNC020313)". The record is from RNAcentral. Lineage: Eukaryota; Viridiplantae; Streptophyta; Magnoliopsida; Rosales; Rosaceae.